CGAUUGACGUUACCCGCAGAAGAAGCACCGGCUAACUCCGUGCCAGCAGCCGCGGUAAUACGGAGGGUGCAAGCGUUAAUCGGAAUUACUGGGCGUAAAGCGCACGCAGGCGGUCUGUCAAGUCGGAUGUGAAAUCCCCGGGCUCAACCUGGGAACUGCAUUCGAAACUGGCAGGCUAGAGUCUUGUAGAGGGGGGUAGAAUUCCAGGUGUAGCGGUGAAAUGCGUAGAGAUCUGGAGGAAUACCGGUGGCGAAGGCGGCCCCCUGGACAAAGAC
RNAcentral lists this ribosomal RNA (275 nucleotides) under Klebsiella pneumoniae. Its description in RNAcentral is "partial 16S ribosomal RNA". It matches the Rfam family "Bacterial small subunit ribosomal RNA", at positions 466 to 740 of the family's 1533-position model. Lineage: Bacteria; Pseudomonadati; Pseudomonadota; Gammaproteobacteria; Enterobacterales; Enterobacteriaceae. The record is from RNAcentral.